CCUGGUGGCUCAGACAGUAAAGCAUCUGCCUACAAUGCAGGAGACCCAGGUUCAAUCCCUGGGUCAGGA
Bos taurus (domestic cattle) is the source of this 69-nucleotide non-coding RNA. The record is from Rfam. Lineage: Eukaryota; Metazoa; Chordata; Mammalia; Artiodactyla; Bovidae.